Long non-coding RNA from Capsicum annuum, 969 nucleotides. RefSeq lists it as uncharacterized. Lineage: Eukaryota; Viridiplantae; Streptophyta; Magnoliopsida; Solanales; Solanaceae. The record is from RefSeq and is a predicted model, not a curated record. The transcript has 2 exons.
UUAGAGCUAAAUGUGCUCUCACUUAUCCUACUAGAUAUUUUUCUCCUUUGGAAGAUGAAGCAGAUUUAGUUGGGAAUUCACUUGAUCACCAUUCAACUGACAGCUACCUCUCCAUCAGUCCCAAUAGUAGCUAAAGACAAAGUGCUUGCUGAAUCAGUGGACUCUGUUGAUGCUGAACCACUCUUUCCAGAACCUGAUAGAGAUCUUUCGGAUUGUGAGACCUCAUUAUCCACCAGGAGGAGUUGCAGAGAACUAAUUCAUAACGUUUUUGGAGUGCUCAACAAGAUUGAUCAGUUAAAAGGAAGCAAACUCAGCUUCGCAAAAUAGGUCAUUUUGAAUGCUGAACUCAUAUUUGGAACUACUCCUCAACAGCAGGCUCUACCUAUAGAGGAUGGGUUCUCUGUGAGCCAUUUUCUCCUCAAUGAACAUGAAAUGUUUUUGAGUUUUCUGUGGAUGGCUUUCAGUGAGUUGCUUGGCUGUAAUGACCCAAAACAGAUGAAUCAGCUUAAAGGAUUCGCCUUUGAUUGUCUAUUAGAGUACCUAGACUAAAAAUUUUCUCCAAUCUCUGAUUCUUGUUUCAGAACCUGUACCAAACUACCAUCAAGUAUGACCAAAGUGAUUCUGAUUGCUGAUAUUAUUGAUGAGGUCGAAGAGUGGACACAAUUUGUUGGUUUGAUCCCAGACCAGCUAAUAGAAUGGGAUAUGAGCCAUUCUUUGGGUAAAUGUACGGACUUUGAGAUUGAAGAAUAUGAAUGUGGCACUGAAGUUGCUAGGCAUAUUCUCCAAGAAUUAGUAGCUCCUCUUUCUGAGACUUUGUUGGAAGCCUAUCAGUGCUGUUCUCAAGUGAUAACUCUUGACUCAAUAAUGUCAAGCAAAGUAUUUUGUACAAAUCAUUGAUUCUGCAUCUGAUUUGACUUAUUGUACUUGUGCUUUUGCAUUUAUGAAUGUUAAGAACAAUCCCUUCGUGAA